GAUGAACGCUGGCUACAGGCUUAACACAUGCAAGUCGAGGGGAAACGACGGGGAAGCUUGCUUCCCCGGGCGUCGACCGGCGCACGGGUGAGUAACGCGUAUCCAACCUGCCUCUGACUGAGGGAUAACCCGUCGAAAGUCGGCCUAAUACCUCAUGGCAUCGUCUGCGGGCAUCCAACGACGAUUAAAGAUUUCAUCGGUCAGAGAUGGGGAUGCGUCUGAUUAGCUUGUUGGCGGGGUAACGGCCCACCAAGGCGACGAUCAGUAGGGGUUCUGAGAGGAAGGUCCCCCACAUUGGAACUGAGACACGGUCCAAACUCCUACGGGAGGCAGCAGUGAGGAAUAUUGGUCAAUGGGCGAGAGCCUGAACCAGCCAAGUAGCGUGCAGGAUGACGGCCCUAUGGGUUGUAAACUGCUUUUAUGCGGGGAUAAAGUGAGGGACGUGUCCUUCAUUGCAGGUACCGCAUGAAUAAGGACCGGCUAAUUCCGUGC
Molecule: ribosomal RNA, 492 nt
Filed under: uncultured bacterium
Lineage: Bacteria
Description: partial 16S ribosomal RNA
Rfam family: Bacterial small subunit ribosomal RNA
Source: RNAcentral